AAAUGUGCUUUAUAAGCUAGACACACAGGAAGCAAAGAAAAUCUACUGACUGACAAGAGCAAAUGAUACUGGAGGACACCAUGUAGGGGUGAAUGUGAGGAACAUAGAUCACAAGCGACAGGAGCCUAAAGACAUCUGCAACAAUGACACCAGCAUUGACCUCAGGGAAUCUUAAACUUGGUGAUGACAGCAGCAAUGGCAGGAAAUCUCUCAGGACACAGACAAGCUUUGGGUUCUCGGCUUUCACAGCAGAAAGCUAAAUUGGACUAGCAACCGAACUUAGGCAACAGGACCCUCACUGCCACAUUCAUUCCAGCUCUAGAUUUCCACAGGGAUGGUAUAAAUUUAAUCGAAAG
This is a long non-coding RNA of Mustela erminea (ermine), 356 nucleotides long. RefSeq lists it as uncharacterized. The transcript has 4 exons. NCBI's taxonomy places the organism in Eukaryota, Metazoa, Chordata, Mammalia, Carnivora, Mustelidae. The record is from RefSeq and is a predicted model, not a curated record.